Molecule: RNase P RNA, 277 nt
Filed under: Nitrosopumilaceae archaeon
Lineage: Archaea; Thermoproteati; Nitrososphaerota; Nitrososphaeria; Nitrosopumilales; Nitrosopumilaceae
Description: RNase P RNA component
Rfam family: Archaeal RNase P
About the family: Ribonuclease P (RNase P) is a ubiquitous endoribonuclease, found in archaea, bacteria and eukarya as well as chloroplasts and mitochondria. Its best characterised activity is the generation of mature 5'-ends of tRNAs by cleaving the 5'-leader elements of precursor-tRNAs.
Source: RNAcentral
GUGAGCUGAAGCGCGAACGCUGCCACGGCAGAGGAAACUCCUCCCUCCAUACAGGAGUGCGAUCCGGAGAUGGAUAGUCGGAGACGGCUGGCAACGGAGCAGAAAAUGAUCCAACAUGGGGCACUAUGAUGGCAGUCCCUGAGGUUCCCAUGAACGGAGUGAAAGAAGCCGACCCGCACGGAGAAAGGCCAAACAGAGCCGCAGGACCUGUACCAGGCUCAGGUAGGCCGCAAAGCGAAAUGUCGCGAGAACAGAAGGAGGGUUACUCUCAGCACAC